AAUGAACGCUGGCGGCAGGCCUAACACAUGCAAGUCGAACGGAGUUAUAUUGUAGCUUGCUAUGGUAUAACUUAGUGGCAGACGGGUGAGUAAUGUAUAGGAAUCUACCUAGUAGUACGGAAUAAUUGUUGGAAACGGGAACUAAUACCGUAUACGCCCUACGGGGGAAAAAUUUAUUGCUAUUAGAUGAGCCUAUAUUAGAUUAGCUAGUCGGUGGAGUAAUAGCCUACCAAGGCAAUGAUCUAUAGCUGAUCUGAGAGGAUGAUCAGCCACACUGGAACUGAGAUACGGUCCAGACUCCUACGGGAGGCAGCAGUGGGGAAUAUUGGACAAUGGGCGAAAGCCUGAUCCAGCCAUGCCGCAUGAGUGAAGAAGGCCUUUGGGUUGUAAAGCUCUUUUAGUGAGGAAGAUAAUGACGGUACUCACAGAAGAAGUCCUGGCUAACUCCGUGCCAGCAGCCGCGGUAAUACGGAGAGGGCUUGCGUUAUUCGGAAUUAUUGGGCGUAAAGGGCGCGUAGGCGGAUUAGUAAGUUAAAAGUGAAAUCCCAAGGCCUAACCUUGGAAUUGCUUUUAAAACUGCUAGUCUAGAGAUUGAAAGAGGAUAGAGGAAUUCCUAGUGUAGAGGUGAAAUUCGUAAAUAUUAGGAGGAACACCAGUGGCGAAGGCGUCUAUCUGGUUCAAAUCUGACGCUGAGGCGCGAAGGCGUG
This 707-nucleotide ribosomal RNA is filed under the name uncultured bacterium. RNAcentral describes it as "bacterial SSU rRNA". It matches the Rfam family "Bacterial small subunit ribosomal RNA", at positions 28 to 763 of the family's 1533-position model. The record is from RNAcentral.